Long non-coding RNA from Megalobrama amblycephala (Wuchang bream), 440 nucleotides. RefSeq lists it as uncharacterized. The transcript is spliced from 3 exons. The record is from RefSeq and is a predicted model, not a curated record. NCBI's taxonomy places the organism in Eukaryota, Metazoa, Chordata, Actinopteri, Cypriniformes, Xenocyprididae.
CUGGCAGCACAGAGUUUCACAGAGACCAAAACAAAGACAGACAUUCUGACUGGAACGCACAUUUUCAGAGUAGAGUAUCUGGCUGUAGGAUUGUUUUUCUGAGAAACAAACUCUUCCUCAUCUGGAAAGAUCCAUCAUGGUUUGGUCUGAUUCCUGUGGAUUUGGUCUCAUGUUCAGGCAGAGAUGUGUUAUAUUUCCUAAUUUUCAUCAUCAGGUUUUUGUGGUUGAAGCCAGUGACCAUACAGGUGUUUCUGAGCUUCGGCACAUUGUCCCAUUUUCUCUUGGCUGGUACAGCUGCAUCAAUAAAGGUGACCAAUCGAGACAUUUUUAAUAUUAAAGGACAAGAAGUCCUUUCCAUCAUUGCUGUACUCAUCGAUGCCUUUGAGAAACUUCACUUCAUCUCCCUGCUGGUCAACUUCACAACUGUGUCUCCGCUGAAG